UUUCAGUAAUUUGUCAAAGUUCAAAAAUGGUUUCAAACCUUUUAAUUCUAAAAUUAAGCGUGACUGCUCUCCUGUCCAUUUAUAUGAUGCUACCAUUGAUUCUUUUUCUCGCCCCCCAAGGCGAGGGGCGCCCAUUUUAUCAAACUUUAAUGGCGUUCUUGAUUAUUUCUUUAUGGCCAGUAUUUACUUUUGUAUUGAUAGUCACAAUAUUAUUGGCAGACCGAUAUCCAAAAUUACCUCGCGUGAGUGCUAUUGUCUGGAUAGUAGUAUCCCAUAUAACUCUCAUCUUUUUACUUCUCAACUGUGGGUUCGUGAAUUCUGUGCAUUGGUACGACUUCCCGGACUUGUCUUUCCAACUUUUAAAAAAAUGCAAACACUACGAACAUUCCUACAAGUAUCCCGAAAUCGGAUGGAUCCUUUUCGGCGAAAUUUACGCUUGGCUAACUUUUACUUUAGUAAUGAUAUACAAUACAGCAUGGCCUCUUCUAUUA
This is a non-coding RNA of Drosophila bipectinata, 491 nucleotides long. The record is from RefSeq and is a predicted model, not a curated record. Lineage: Eukaryota; Metazoa; Arthropoda; Insecta; Diptera; Drosophilidae.